UGGGGAAUCUUGCGCAAUGGGCGAAAGCCUGACGCAGCCAUGCCGCGUGAAUGAUGAAGGUCUUAGGAUUGUAAAAUUCUUUUACCAGGGACGAUAAUGACGGUACCUGGAGAAAAAGCCCCGGCUAACUUCGUGCCAGCAGCCGCGGUAAUACGAAGGGGGCUAGCGUUGCUCGGAAUUACUGGGCGUAAAGGGAGCGUAGGCGGGUUAUCAAGUUGGAGGUGAAAGCCCAGGGCUCAACCUUGGAAUUGCCUUCAAAACUGAUAACCUAGAGUGUGGAAGAGGUAAGUGGAACUCCGAGUGUAGAGGUGAAAUUCGUAGAUAUUCGGAAGAACACCAGUGGCGAAGGCGACUUACUGGUCCAUGACUGACGCUGAGGCUCGAAAGCGUGGGGAGCAAACA
This 402-nucleotide ribosomal RNA is filed under the name uncultured bacterium. Its description in RNAcentral is "bacterial SSU rRNA". It matches the Rfam family "Bacterial small subunit ribosomal RNA", at positions 355 to 774 of the family's 1533-position model. The record is from RNAcentral.